GAUGAACGCUGGCGGCGUGCCUAAUACAUGCAAGUCGAGCGAACAGACGAGGAGCUUGCUCCUCUGACGUUAGCGGCGGACGGGUGAGUAACACGUGGAUAACCUACCUAUAAGACUGGGAUAACUUCGGGAAACCGGAGCUAAUACCGGAUAAUAUAUUGAACCGCAUGGUUCAAUAGUGAAAGACGGUUUUGCUGUCACUUAUAGAUGGAUCCGCGCCGCAUUAGCUAGUUGGUAAGGUAACGGCUUACCAAGGCAACGAUGCGUAGCCGACCUGAGAGGGUGAUCGGCCACACUGGAACUGAGACAUGGUCCAGACUCCUACGGGAGGCAGCAGUAGGGAAUCUUACGCAAUGGGCGAAAGCCUGACGGAGCAACGCCGCGUGAGUGAUGAAGGUCUUCGGAUCGUAAAACUCUGUUAUUAGGGAAGAACAAAUGUGUAAGUAACUAUGCACGUCUUGACGGUACCUAAUCAGAAAGCCACGGCUAACUACGUG
Molecule: ribosomal RNA, 497 nt
Filed under: uncultured bacterium
Lineage: Bacteria
Description: partial 16S ribosomal RNA
Rfam family: Bacterial small subunit ribosomal RNA
Source: RNAcentral